AAGUCCCGUAACGAGCGCAACCCUUGUCUUCUGUUGCCAUCACGUUAUGGUGGGCACUCUGAAGAGACUGCCGGUGACAAACCGGAGGAAGGUGGGGAUGACGUCAAGUCAGCAUGGCCUUUAUGUCUGGGGCCACACACGUGCUACAAUGGCAGAUACAAACCGUCGCGAUCCCGCAAGGGGGAGCUAAUCGGAGAAAGUCUGUCUCAGUUCGGAUUGCAGGCUGCAACUCGCCUGCAUGAAGUUGGAAUCGCUAGUAAUCGCGGAUCAGCACGCCGCGGUGAAUACGUUCCCGGGCCUUGUACACACCGCCCGU
This 316-nucleotide ribosomal RNA is filed under the name uncultured soil bacterium. RNAcentral describes it as "bacterial SSU rRNA". It matches the Rfam family "Bacterial small subunit ribosomal RNA", at positions 1082 to 1397 of the family's 1533-position model. The record is from RNAcentral.